Phyllostomus discolor (pale spear-nosed bat) is the source of this 1050-nucleotide long non-coding RNA. RefSeq lists it as uncharacterized. The record is from RefSeq and is a predicted model, not a curated record. The transcript has 2 exons. Lineage: Eukaryota; Metazoa; Chordata; Mammalia; Chiroptera; Phyllostomidae.
GGUCCCCCGAAGCGGCCAGGGGCCCCGGGGCGGGCGUGUCGCUGACCCAGCCGCCCCCCCGUGUGCGCGCCCUGCUCGCACCCGCCUCCUAGGCGCCCGAGGCUACGACGAGCAGCCUGAAACCCGAGCUUCCUGCGAAGGAUUCAAACCAGGGAGAAAAGCGCAGCCAUGAUACAGCCACCGCUUCUAAGCCUCAGCGGUCCCUGUGCUUGGGGCUCCACGUGCGCCUGCGCCCCCAACUCUCCCAGCGCCCGCGCGGCUCCCACUCCACAGCUGAAGAAACUGAAGCCCAGAGUUGCUAGCAAGAUGCCCGAAGGUGCACAGCUGCUAAGGCAGAUCUGGGACUUGUCCCCAGGCGCUUCCGGCGAAUCCCGCCUCUCCGGUCCACAUCAGCUGCGCCCCGCCCGGGGGGGGAGGCGCGGAAGUGGUUCUUGCUUGCUAGGCCUUGACGGGAAGGCUUCCGCUCGUCUACCACAGCCUGGUCCCUCGGGGUCACGAUUCCUGGACCACUGGGAAGGCACCGGGACACACAGGUGCAGAGAUGUGACGCUGGAUGCUGCCUCCUCAUCUGGGAAGCUAGAAACGUGGGCAUCAACGCUCCCGCCACGCCGUCUCUCCUCCCGUGCCUUAGCAAUGGCUCCCUCGCCACCAAGGUGAUUGUCUUCUGGAAGCAGCCGUGCCACGUGAGGUUCCUCGUCACUGCCCCCACCUCCCUGGCGGGGUAACUGCCAAGGCGCAUGUGGUUCCAGGGAAAGAGAAAGUAGCAGCGUCGACGGCUUCUCCAGCACCCAGCCAGCCGGCCCUCUUGGCUGCAGCAGCCCCUCUGCGGGCCCACCCCUCCCUGCGGCGGGCUCAUCAGUUACCCGGAGCCAGCUGUGAGCCUACUCCCCUGGCUCCGAGGUUUUCAGUGGGUUCCAAGUGACUUCACACUUCAAGUCGAUUCUCAUGCACCUGGAGCACAGAGCCUCAUCUGACCCAGCUCAGUUCUCCAGCCUUCUCUCACAUGUCCCAUCCUGCCUCUUCGCCAAAACAAAUGAGCUGUAUUCCCGC